Molecule: unclassified non-coding RNA, 250 nt
Filed under: plant metagenome
Description: partial contains small subunit ribosomal RNA, internal transcribed spacer 1, and 5.8S ribosomal RNA
Source: RNAcentral
GUAGGUGAACCUGCGGAAGGAUCAUUAUUGAAUCUUUUUUCAAAAAAAACAAAAAACCAAAAAAGAAAAGAAAUGAAAAAGAAAAGAAAUGGAAACAAGAAGGAAAACAAAAGAACAAGGAAAAAGGAAAACACAAGAAAAAAAAACACUCGUUUUUUUGCUUUUGCUUUCUCAAGAUUUGUGGUUGGGGUCGCUUUUCGAAUUUAUUUUCGAAAGGUGAAGACAAAUCGGAAAGAAAGAAAAAACAAUG